CUGGGCCGGGCCUGGGCGGGCGGAGCGGUGGGCGCUGCCCCGGCGAGGGCCCGACUUGUGGUGCGGGCAGGAGCGGCCCGAGCGCGGCCCCGCUCUGCUCGUGUCCGCCUCCCGCCGGGCGCGGCAGGGCCCGAUGGCGGCCGGGCUGGGGCCGCGGCUGCUGGCCUUGGCCUUGGCCUUGGGGCCGGCCGGCAUUUGGGCUGAAUUGAGUCUGGUGGAGUCUGGUGGAGGUCUGCGAGCACCUGGAGAGUCCGUGCAUCUUUCCUGCCAGGGAUCCGGACUCAGCUUCGAAGAUUAUUAUGUCCGGUGGUACCGUCAGGCACCCGGUGGAAGUCUUGAGUGGGUGUCCUUCAUUGACAGAUAUGGUAGCACAAUAGAAUAUAGCAAAGCGGUGGAGGGCAGAGCUACAGCCUCCCGUGACAAUUCCCAGUCCAGGGCUUCUCUGUCCCUGCAUGCCCUGGUACCCCAGGACUCUGCCCACUACUUCUGUGCAGUUCGCACAGGGACAGGAAAUCCAACUGAGCUUUAACAGAAACCUGCUUCUAGGGCCCCUCGCCUUCUCUAAUUGUGCCCCUGCCAUUUAGAACAGGGAGGAG
Molecule: non-coding RNA, 596 nt
Organism: Cygnus olor (mute swan)
Lineage: Eukaryota; Metazoa; Chordata; Aves; Anseriformes; Anatidae
Source: the annotation of a RefSeq genome assembly